CCUACGGGAGGCAGCAGUGAGGGAUAUUGCGCAAUGGGCGAAAGCCUGACGCAGCGACGCCGCGUGGGCGAGGAAGGCCUUCGGGUUGUAAAGCCCUUUUGGCAGGGAAGAGCAAGGACUGUACCUGCAGAACAAGUCACGGCUAACUACGUGCCAGCAGCCGCGGUAAAACGUAGGUGGCAAGCGUUAUCCGGAAUCACUGGGCGUAAAGGGCGUCUAGGCGGACGGGUAAGUCGUGCGUGAAAGCUUCCGGCUCAACCGGGAGAGGUCGUACGAUACUGCCUGUCUUGAGGGUCGGAGAGGGACGUGGAAUUCCCGGUGUAGCGGUAAAAUCCGUAGAUAUUGGGAGGAACACCGGUGGCGAAGGCGGCUCUCUGGACCGAUACUGACGCUGAGACGCGAAAGCGGGGGAAGCAAACAGGAUUAGAUCCCCUUGUAGU
Molecule: ribosomal RNA, 440 nt
Filed under: uncultured bacterium
Lineage: Bacteria
Description: partial 16S ribosomal RNA
Rfam family: Bacterial small subunit ribosomal RNA
Source: RNAcentral